This 496-nucleotide ribosomal RNA is filed under the name uncultured bacterium. Its description in RNAcentral is "partial 16S ribosomal RNA". It matches the Rfam family "Bacterial small subunit ribosomal RNA", at positions 29 to 507 of the family's 1533-position model. The record is from RNAcentral.
AUGAACGCUGGCGGCGUGCCUAAUACAUGCAAGUCGAGCGAACGGACGAGAAGCUUGCUUCUCUGAUGUUAGCGGCGGACGGGUGAGUAACACGUGGAUAACCCACCUAUAAGACUGGGAUAACUUCGGGAAACCGUAGCUAAUACCGGAUAAUAUUUUGAACCGCAUGGUUCAAAAGUGAAAGACGGUCUUGCUGUCACUUAUAGAUGGAUCCGCGCUGCAUUAGCUAGUUGGUAAGGUAACGGCUUACCAAGGCAACGAUGCAUAGCCGACCUGAGAGGGUGAUCGGCCACACUGGAACUGAGACACGGUCCAGACUCCUACGGGAGGCAGCAGUAGGGAAUCUUCCGCAUUGGGCGAAAGCCUGACGGAGCAACGCCGCGUGAGUGAUGAAGGUCUUCGGAUCGUAAAACUCUGUUAUUAGGGAAGAACAUAUGUGUAAGUAACUGUGCACAUCUUGACGGUACCUAAUCAGAAAGCCACGGCUAACUACGUG